This 506-nucleotide ribosomal RNA is filed under the name uncultured bacterium. RNAcentral's name for it is "partial 16S ribosomal RNA". It matches the Rfam family "Bacterial small subunit ribosomal RNA", at positions 28 to 523 of the family's 1533-position model. The record is from RNAcentral.
GAUGAACGCUAGCUACAGGCUUAACACAUGCAAGUCGAGGGGUAACGAGAGGAAAGCUUGCUUUCCUUGUCGACGACCGGCGCACGGGUGAGUAACGCGUAUCCAACCUGCCCCCAACUAGGGAAUAACCUUGCGAAAGUAAGACUAAUACCCUAUAAUUUCCUCAGAUGACAUCUGACGAGGAAUAAAGAUUUAUCGGUUGUGGAUGGGGAUGCGUCUGAUUAGCUUGUUGGCGGGGUAACGGCCCACCAAGGCAACGAUCAGUAGGGGUUCUGAGAGGAAGGUCCCACACAUUUGAACUGCGACACGGUCCAAACUCCUACGGGAGGCAGCAGUGAGGAAUAUUGGUUAAUGGGCGGAAGCCUGAACCAGCCAAGUAGCGUGCAGGAUGACGGCCCUAUGGGUUGUAAACUGCUUUUAUACAGGAAUAAAGUUAGCCACGUGUGGUUAUUUGUAGGUACUGUAUGAAUAAGGACCGGCUAAUUCCGUGCCAGCCGCCGCAGUAA